Long non-coding RNA from Anneissia japonica, 967 nucleotides. RefSeq lists it as uncharacterized. The transcript has 3 exons. NCBI's taxonomy places the organism in Eukaryota, Metazoa, Echinodermata, Crinoidea, Comatulida, Comatulidae. The record is from RefSeq and is a predicted model, not a curated record.
CGAAUAGUUAGAAUAAUAGCCAGAUAUGCAUGAAGAAAAUUCAGCUACAGAUACCAAGUCAUUUGGCAGAGAUCUACAUGGAGGGGUGCCUGGCCAUAUUGAGUGCCACAUUUCAUUUCACAAGUUGUUGAAUGUGAGACUAACAACACAGUGGUAUUGGUUGUCAUAGUGAUGAGAUUGUAGCCGUUCUUCAGAAAGAAAAGCAGCAGAAAUUAUUUUGAAUCAUACAAAGUAAUCAUUUGGGUUUCAGGUUUCAACAUGGAAAUCUGAAUGCAUCUGUUAUGGGUCAGUCAGUGACACUCAGGUUUUUUCAGGAGAGAAUGGCUGAGAUACAAGUAACAAGCAACAUUGUGGAGACAUGAUGGGGGAGCCUGACCAUGUGUAGUGCCAUGGAGAGAAGCUAGAGAUACAGAUAACAAGGAAUAUUGUGGAGACAUGAUGGGGAGCUGAGACAUGAUGUAGUGUCACAUCUGGCCAUUUUUGUCUCAUCUUGUAAGUAAAUUUACAUCAAAUUACUUUCUUUGACUCUAAAAGUAAUUGUAACAUUGCUCUUUUUCAGACAUUCACUUGCUGUUCAAAUUAUUUCAUUUCUCUCUACUUCACAUUUCUCAUACAACCUCACAUUUCCUAGCUAUAAUGAGAGUUAUAUUUUUGAUUGGAUGUAAAAGAAAUGAAAAUAUACAAAGUCAUCUUUUACAAAAGCAUUUCAUUCAACAGAUGUAUUACACAGCCUGUUUCAUUUUUCUUUAUUAUUAAUGAAUUAAUUAUAUUUUUAAUUAUUAUAGAAAACUAAUGUAUUGCUACAUCAUAUUUCAUAUUACUUAAUCCAUACUUUUUCCAAAAUCUAUAAAGUGUAAGAUAUUAUAAUGUGUGAUUCACUAUAUUUAUAAUCAAAGAAGUAUUUAAAAAACUAUACACUUUAAUUAUUUAUUAUGGGUGAUUUUGGAGUGGUGUUUCAAUCUUACUC